GACGAGCGCUGGCGGCGUGCUUAACACAUGCAAGUCGAACGGAUCAGGGGAGCUUGCUUUUCUGGUUAGUGGCGAACGGGUGAGUAACACGUGAGUAACCUGCCCUUCACUCUGGGAUAACGUCGGGAAACCGGUGCUAAUACUGGAUACGACCUACUCGGGCAUCCGAUGUGGGUGGAAAGAUUUAUUGGUGGGGGAUGGACUCGCGGCCUAUCAGCUUGUUGGUGAGGUAAUGGCUUACCAAGGCGACGACGGGUAGCCGGCCUGAGAGGGCGAUCGGCCACACUGGGACUGAGACACGGCCCAGACUCCUACGGGAGGCAGCAGUGGGGAAUAUUGCAC
This 342-nucleotide ribosomal RNA is filed under the name uncultured bacterium. Its description in RNAcentral is "bacterial SSU rRNA". It matches the Rfam family "Bacterial small subunit ribosomal RNA", at positions 28 to 369 of the family's 1533-position model. The record is from RNAcentral.